Molecule: ribosomal RNA, 1235 nt
Filed under: metagenome
Description: bacterial LSU rRNA
Rfam family: Bacterial large subunit ribosomal RNA
Source: RNAcentral
UGAAUACGAGAUGCUACGGCGUCGAAGCAGUCUAUGUCAUACUUCCAAGAAAAGCUUGCACUGUCAUAAACAAAUAAUGCCUGUACCAUAACCGACACAGGUGGGUAGGUAGAGUAUACUAAGGGGCGCGAGAUAACUCUCUCUAAGGAACUCGGCAAAAUGACUCCGUAACUUCGGGAGAAGGAGUGCCUUAUUUAUAAGGUUGCAAUAACAAGAUCCAAGCAACUGUUUACCAAAAACACAGGUCUCCGCUAAGUCGUAAGACGAUGUAUGGGGGCUGACGCCUGCCCAGUGCCAGAAGGUUAAAGAAGUUGGUUAGCAUCCGCGAAGCUGAUAACUGAAGCCCUGGUGAACGGCGGCCGUAACAAUAACGGUCCUAAGGUAGCGAAAUUCCUUGUCGGGUAAGUUCCGACCCGCACGAAAGGCGUAAAGAUUUGGAUACUGUCGCGGAGAGGGGCUCGGUGAAAUAGACUUGUCUGUGAAGAUGCGGACUACCUGCACCAGGACAGAAAGACCCUAUGAAGCUUACUGUAACCUGAAAUUGAAAUUGGACUUUACUUGCGCAGUAUAGGUGGGAGGCGUUGAGAAUAUUCUUGCGGGAUUAUUGGAGCCAUCAGUGAGAUACCACUCUUGUAAUGUUAGAUUUCUAACUUUGUAUCAUUAUCUGGUCAAAGAACAGUUUCAGGCGGGCAGUUUGACUGGGGCGGUCGCCUCCUAAACGGUAACGGAGGCGCACAAAGGUUUCCUCUGAACGGGUAGAAAUCGUAUCUGGAGUGUAAAGGCAUAAGGAAGCUUGACUGUGAGACCUACAAGUCGAGCAGGGACGAAAGUCGGUCUUAGUGAUCUGACGGUGCUGAGUGGAAAGGCCGUCACUCAACGGAUAAAAGUUACUCUAGGAUAACAGGCUGAUCUCCCCCAAGAGUUCACAUCGACGGGGAGGUUUGGCACCUCGAUGUCGGCUCAUCGCAUCCUGGGGCGGUAGUACGUCCCAAGGGUUGGGCUGUUCGCCCAUGAAAGCGGUACGCGAGCUGGGUUCAGAACGUCGUGAGACAGUUCGGUCCAUAUCCGGUGUAGGCGUUAGAAUAUUGAGAGGAGCCUUCUUUAGUACGAGAGGACCGAGAAGGACAUACCUCUGGUGUACCAGUUAUCGUGCCAACGGUAAACGCUGGGUAGCUAUGUGUGGAGUGGAUAACCGCUGAAAGCAUCUAAGUGGGAAGCCCACCUCAAGAUAAGUA